This 211-nucleotide ribosomal RNA is filed under the name uncultured bacterium. RNAcentral describes it as "partial 16S ribosomal RNA". It matches the Rfam family "Bacterial small subunit ribosomal RNA", at positions 1290 to 1500 of the family's 1533-position model. The record is from RNAcentral.
AGUUCGGAUCGCAGGCUGCAACCCGCCUGCGUGAAGUUGGAAUUGCUAGUAAUCGCGGAUCAGCAAGCCGCGGUGAAUACGUUCCCGGGCCUUGUACACACCGCCCGUCACACCAUGAGAGUCGGGAACACCCGAAGUCCGUAGUCUAACCGCAAGGAGGGCGCGGCCGAAGGUGGGUUCGAUAAUUGGGGUGAAGUCGUAACAAGGUAAC